RNAcentral lists this ribosomal RNA (460 nucleotides) under uncultured bacterium. RNAcentral's name for it is "partial 16S ribosomal RNA". It matches the Rfam family "Bacterial small subunit ribosomal RNA", at positions 338 to 795 of the family's 1533-position model. The record is from RNAcentral.
CCUACGGGAGACAGCAGUGAGGAAUAUUGGUCAAUGGACGCAAGUCUGAACCAGCCAUGCCGCGUGCAGGAAGACGGCCCUAUGAGUUGUAAACUGCUUUUGUACGAGGGUAAACUCAGAUACGCGUAUCUUUCUGAAAGUAUCGUACGAAUAAGGAUCGGCCAACCCCGUGCCAGCAGCCGCGGUAAUACGGAGGAUUCAAGCGUUAUCCGGAUUUAUUGGGUUUAAAGGGUGCGUAGGCGGUAGGGUAAGUUAGUUGUGAAACCCCGUGGCUCAACUUCGGAAUUGCCUCUGAUACUGGUCGGCUAGAGAGUAGUUGCGGUAGGCGGAAUGUAUGGUGUAGCGGUGAAAUGCUUAGAGAUCAUACAGAACACCGAUUGCGAAGGCAGCUUACCAAGCUACUUCUGACGUUGAGGCACGAAAGCGUGGGUAGCAAACAGGAUUAGAUACCCCAGUAGUC